RNAcentral lists this ribosomal RNA (320 nucleotides) under uncultured eukaryote. RNAcentral describes it as "partial 18S ribosomal RNA". It matches the Rfam family "Eukaryotic small subunit ribosomal RNA", at positions 1470 to 1796 of the family's 1831-position model. The record is from RNAcentral.
CCCCUAGAUGUUCUGGGCCGCACGCGCGCUACACUGAACAGUUCAACAAGUCUUAACCUUGGCCGAUAGGUCUGGGUAAUCUUUGAACGCUGUUCGUGAUUGGGAUAGACCUUUGCAAUUAUGGGUCUUCAACGAGGAAUUCCUAGUAAACGCAAGUCAUCAGCUUGCAUUGAUUACGUCCCUGCCCUUUGUACACACCGCUCGUCGCACCUACCGAUUGAAUGGUCCGGUGAAAUCUCGGGACGGCGGCUUGGUCGCUUGCGUCCGACUGCUGAAACUUGAUUAAACCAUAUCAUUUAGAGGAAGGUGAANUCGUANCA